This 490-nucleotide ribosomal RNA is filed under the name uncultured bacterium. RNAcentral describes it as "bacterial SSU rRNA". It matches the Rfam family "Bacterial small subunit ribosomal RNA", at positions 15 to 518 of the family's 1533-position model. The record is from RNAcentral.
GAUUAUGGCUCAGAACGAACGCUGGUGGCGUGUCUAUACAUGCAAGUCGAGCGAGGCAGCAAUGCCGAGCGGCGAACGGGUGAGUAACGCGUAAGCAAUCUGCCCCAUAUCAGGAAAUACCCGUGCCAACGCGCGGUUAAUGUCCAGGAGAGUGGCCCUCUGCAUGGAGGGUUGACUAGAGAUUUAUCGGUAUGGGAUGAGCUUGCGUCCGAUUAGCUAGUUGGCGGGGCAACGGCCCACCAAGGCGACGAUCGGUAGCCGGCCUGAGAGGGUGAUCGGCCACAUUGGGACUGAGAUACGGCCCAGACUCCUACGGGAGGCAGCAGUAGGGAAUAUUGCACAAUGGGGGAAACCCUGAUGCAGCAACGCCACGUGUGGGAAGAAGCAUUUCGGUGUGUAAACCACUGUCAUGAGGGAAUAAGGCCCUUAUCCGUAAGGGAUUGAAUGUACCUUGAGAGGAAGCACCGGCAAACUUCGUGCCAGCCGCCGC